Molecule: long non-coding RNA, 377 nt
Filed under: Gossypium raimondii (Peruvian cotton)
Lineage: Eukaryota; Viridiplantae; Streptophyta; Magnoliopsida; Malvales; Malvaceae
Description: long non-coding RNA (GRAI_LNC005829)
Source: RNAcentral
GGACUUAGGGUUUCUAAAAAUAGUUUAGGUUAUGGACUUGUUGGGCUUUGGGUUAUUGGGUUUGUAAAUUUUGGGGCUUUUGGGCCUUGUUAAUGGACUGGCGUAUUUUGUAAUUGGACGUGAGUUUUAUGAUUAUUAUUUUUUUGUUAUUUUUUGUUUAUUUAUUUCUUGUUUUGGGUCGGGAAAAAUUGGGCAUUUACAGCUGCCCCUCUUUGCUCAUUAACGUGUAACGGGAAUGAGGCAAAGACUUUAAGAAGGGACAAUUUUGUCUGGUCUUGCCGAAUAUCGACUUCUUUAGUGCUUCUCUUUUUCAAGUGCCUCAUUCCAGCCCGCUGCGACUUCAGUGGUAUAGGAAUUGUAGUUUUAAUCUACUCCAC